CUCAGAUUCUGGAUUCCUACC
RNAcentral lists this microRNA (21 nucleotides) under Macaca mulatta (Rhesus monkey). RNAcentral describes it as "mml-miR-7194-3p". The record is from miRBase by way of RNAcentral. Lineage: Eukaryota; Metazoa; Chordata; Mammalia; Primates; Cercopithecidae.